This is a long non-coding RNA of Chenopodium quinoa (quinoa), 1641 nucleotides long. RefSeq lists it as uncharacterized. Lineage: Eukaryota; Viridiplantae; Streptophyta; Magnoliopsida; Caryophyllales; Amaranthaceae. The record is from RefSeq and is a predicted model, not a curated record. The transcript has 3 exons.
UACAGUAUACUUUGUAGGAAAAAUAGAAAUCAUAACAUAAAACUCGUUAAGAGAUAGAAAUUAGACUAUUAUCCUCAUAAAUAAAAAUAAUAAUAAUAAUCCUUUAUCUUCAAAAAUAAGUUAAAAAAACUCAUAUACUCGUAAUAAGAGUUAAAACUAGACCUUUUAUCUCCAAAAAAAUUACUGUAAAAAAACUAAAGACAAUCAAUUAUCCAUUCUUCAAAACCGCGAAAAUGGUGAAUUAUUUUUGGCUUUUCCCACUAAGAAUCAAUUACUCAUAAUUAACAAGGUCAUAAAAAAAAAUUACUCAUAAUUAAAAACGCCAGAAAAAAAAAAGCAACGCCAAAAUAAAAUGCUCUUCAAAUCACGAGUUCACAGGAAAGAAAGAAAAAAUCAGCAAACAUAAAAAGUUAAAAACAAAACAACGAAGCAAGAAACACUUCUCUCUCUUCAAUUAUUUCAAAACAGCGUUGUAUGGGUAAUCCGCCACUGCCAGCCACCACUGCUGUCGGUCUGCCAGCCUGCCGCCGCACCUUCCGGCCACCGCACGUUCGCACUAACCACCGCACUCCAAUCUCCAGCCACCGCACAACCGCACUCUAAAUAAAGCGUUAGGGUUUCUUCGUCCGAGUUGGAGUUCGCGUCUGCUAGUUAGAGACUUGGAGUUCCAGUUCGCGUCUGCAGGCCUUCUAGUUGGAGUUCCAGUUCGCGUCUUCAUUCAAUCGUUCGACAAUUGGAGUUCGCUGUUGGCUUUUCGCGUCUUCUACUCUUCUGGUCUUCGACUCUUCGCUAGACCCAAUUCACCCAAAUCACCAAAUGGUAGCUUGAUACUAAUCAAUGAGCUAGAGUGCUAUUAAUUUCCUCUAAUACGAGCAGUUUGGAACGGAGCCUAACCUUUAAUUUGACCAAUUGGUAAGUGAUGCUUAAUAUAAUAUUCUCAUAGCCUCUUUCAAAGUUGAUUAAUUUGCUUAGUAUUAUAUUGUGAUUCUUUUGUGAGGUAAUCUGCUUAAGAUUUGCUUCAAGGAUGAUGGACACCCUGGUUUGUUUUUCUAAUUGUCAUCACUCAGCUUCUCUAGCUUGGUUGUAAGUUCUAAUUAUCUCUAAGUUGUAAGUUCUCAGUUCGGACCUAAUGAUUUAUUGGCUAUAAUUUACUUCAUAUUGUUUUAGCACCUCUAUUCAGUUUUAGUGUAUAUACUUACCUUCGCCAUUUUCGUGAAACCUGAUAUAUGCUUUUUAAAAUUCAAGUAGGUUUGAAUUGCCUAUUAUUUAGACUUAUGAAAUUAAAGGUCUUGAGCAUGUGAGGGUGGAAAGGAUUCAAGCCUUAGGAUACUGUUUAGUUGCAUUAGAGCAAAUAGGGGUUUAAGCAGGUUUAUCAUGAGAACAUUUAAUGGAUUGGUAAUAAAUCAGAGUUUUAAUGAUGUUUAAUUGAUAGCUAUUUUUAUGUUUAAGACAUCAAGGUAAUUAACAAGUUAGAUUUUCAAUUUAUAAACCAAAAGCUAUAAACACAUUAUCCAGCUGAUUCAACCAACAACCUCAAAUUAUUAGUUGCAUCCAUUUGAGAAUGUGUCUACAUUCCUGUUUUAAUUUAGCUCACACUUAAUAAAAUUUGAUUUCCUUUUUAACUUAACAUUUCCCUUUUAU